CCAUGAAAAUUUGUUAGUAAUCAUAUAAAGCUAACUAAAGUUAAUUUGAGCAAAAACUUUUUCAAACUUUAUUAAAUUAAAUUCAAAUUGUUUAUAUUAGUAACAAAGGCAUUUUUGAUCAAAAACUAUGAAUAUUAAAUGAGAGUAAAUUUAAUUAAAAAUUCGUAUACAGUUUGAAAUUGGUAAACAAUGCUCGGUGGACCAACUACUGAAAAGCUAAAACACUCUCUUUGAGCGCCAACAGGCAGUGCAAUGAAAAGCUCGAAAGGGGAAACAAGUACCAGUGGCCGCGCAGCCAUCUAAAGUUAAGCGACACAUGUCACCUGGCCAAAGCCAUGAACAAAAGAUGCGGGUGCUAGCUGCUGUUGCUGUUGCUGCCGCUCGCUGCCCGCUGCCUCUGCUUCAACUUCAACUGCUGCUCUUUCUUGCUCAUAUCCUGCGCGCUGUCGUGCACUUUAUGUGACAUGAUUAUGUGCAAAAGUGCAACAGGCAGACAGCAAGGCAGUCAGCCAAGCAGCCAUUCAGCCUGACCUACGCCCCAUGCACACGGCCGCUGCUCACACCUGUCGCCAUGUCAACUGGCCCUCAAGCAUCGCCAACAAGCUGCACGUGAAUGGGCACUGUUUGAGGCAGGAAUUUGCUGUUCAGUUUCCUUGACAGCACCGGCAACAGAUAUUUCGCUAGUCUGACCAGCUGUAAAGAAUGUCCACAGGUAUUAAACAAGAAUAGACCAUAAAGCUAAUUAAGGGCGUCAUAAUGUUUAAUACGUAAUGUUAUGCGAGGAACCACUUGAAGGCAUAUUUAAAGAUAUCUUAGUAAAGCUUUGAUUAUUUUGAAAGUAAUCUAUUUCCAAUCGGAAUAAACUGUGAAGAAACUAAGACACCAACAAGUACCAAUUAUAAGCGAAAGCAUGACGACACCGUGCCAGAAUAUACGGGCUGUGGGUAUGGAUAUCCGAAGGAGAAGGCAAACGUUGACAAUAAGCUGAAUGAGAUGGAGGUCUUCCCCUGGAGAGCUUCCCCUGGACUGUUAUCAUAUCAAAUAAUGAGAUCUUUCUGGGAUCUGGAUCUCUGAUUACACCAAAGUUUGAGCUAACGGCUGCCAGCAUAUUGAUUGAUCUGGAGAGCGACACUCUUUAUGUGCAUGCGGGCGAAUGGAAUAUUACGAGCAUCACUGAGAAAUAUUCGCAUCAAACUAAUGAAGUGGAAUAAAUAAUAAGGCACAAGAAUUACGACGGUGGACUGGGCAAUAAUGUGGCCCUACUCAUUGCCGACUUGGACUUCGUCUUUCAGCCGAACAUUCGAACUCUCUGUCUGCCCGUUCUGGGUACAACAUUCGAUUACAGCACCUGCA
Drosophila mojavensis is the source of this 1353-nucleotide long non-coding RNA. RefSeq lists it as uncharacterized. The record is from RefSeq and is a predicted model, not a curated record. The transcript has 3 exons. NCBI's taxonomy places the organism in Eukaryota, Metazoa, Arthropoda, Insecta, Diptera, Drosophilidae.